GAGGUAAUAUAAUCUUUCUGCCACUUCUCUUUUAGAUAAAGAAAAAUUUACUCUUAUUAUGAUUUUCUUUCUUAUUGCUGUGGGGGACACAUUAUUGUGUAAAACCUACCAACUUUUCUCAUGACCCAUGGACAGUGUAUAGGAUAAGGCAAGUUAGUGCACAACUUGUGCAUUGAAGGAUGUCUUCCAUUAUCAAGUUAACUUGCAUUGUGUAGCACAGGAUUUAGUGGACAUAUCAAAUUCCCUCCGUUAUCUUGAAACAACUGAAAUUCAUUCUUGAUCUUCCAUUUAUUGUUUAUGCUGGAUCAAAGUCAAAUUCAGCUUAAUGUAGAUCAGUGGAUACAAAUGCACAUCGUAUUUCAUUACUACGGAUGUGUGGCACUUAUGUGAAACUGUAUUUAUAAAGAUAUAUGCAUGUAGGCUGGUUACCUAUACAAGCAUGUACGGGUUUGCAUUAUGUAUUGGAUGUUUGAGACUAAAGUUUUUAACAGUAAACAUUCCUCAAGUAUAAAGUUCAAGUACAUCCUUAAUGUAUCUCAAUUGGCAAGAAACAUCCUUGAUGUAUCAGAAAAGAAAAUGAACUUCGAUCCAAAGUUAAAUAUCCAUCCAAACACCAACUAAAAAUAAAACACUUGCUAUGCUCGUGAUUCUCUUUUCAGAAAAAGAUAUAAUAGAAUAUGCCCUCUCCUCACCAUUUGAGCAACUCUAUCUUCUUCCUAAAUUUAAUAAAAACAUUCGAGAGGACUAAUGUAUUACAUGCUCAACUUUAUCCAAUCAUUCUAUUGUGUCCCUAUCAACCUUAUAGAUCUAAAAACUUGCUUCCUACGAGGAUUCCUCCAUAUAAAUAUGUACGAUUAUCUAUUAACUCACUUAGCAUUCUUUUGACUUGCCUGCAAAAAACAGCAGUACAAAGCCCAAAAAAGAAAAACUUGUUUCUGCUCAUCUGGUUCAACUUAAAAUUUGGAAUUACUACUCUAGUAAUGCUUCCAAAUUAUUGAUAAAGUUUGUCAGCUCUUUUCAAACUUUAAUUAUCUGAUACUCUUUUGUAUUCUUUCAUUUUUUGUUGCCUAGAGAAAUCUUCUACUGUAACAGUCCACUUGACUGAAAGUUUUUAAUGCUCAAUGUUUGUUUGCAAAUUUUUGUACAUUCAUGUAAUCUUUUUCUUGGAGUCGAAACUAUAUAAUUAGUCUGAUAGGCAUAAAAUAUCAUGGAGAUUGGAGAACGUUCUGUAUAUGCAAUCCCAGGUAAAAAUUGUAAACACACAUUAGUGCCUCUUUGAAGGAAAAACACUUUUGGGUUUUUCAAAAUUUUUGACCAAAUAGACUAUUAGCUAGCUUCCAGGCGUUUGUGUGACACGCUCAACUAAGUAAUCGAAAUAAGUGUUUAAAAUGUUGUGUUAUGAAGGGUUCAGGGGUUCACAUGUCAAAGGACUAAGUAAAAGUGUCCACAAUACGAACUCAGACAAGUACCAGGGUCCAGUAGAUCAUUUUGCAUUAGUUACAUCAGUUAAGAGUCACCUGGUUUUGUUUCCAUAUGUACAUAAGUAGCUAGUAAAUUUCAUUCAAGCAUAUGGUGCAACUAUGACUCUCUAGUAGUGGUUACAUGUUAUACCCUGUGGGUCUAUGAGAAUCUCAUUCCAUAGUCCGUCACCUCUAUUUGUGUUUAAUUUACUGUCAAUGAAAAACUCUAAUGAAAUUGUGGAAUGCUUUGGAGAUGUUCAGUUGGGCAUAUUGUAUUUGUAUCAGAUCUUUCUGCCAUCUUUUCUGGCAGACUUAGAUUUGGAAAUGCUAGGCUACGACGUGCUUGAAAUUGGCUGAUGUUAGACAUGAACUGUGUGUCGGCUUCGUGAUAUCUGGGCCUAUUGUCUCGCUGACAUUUUCUGUGUCUUGUAUUACAGCAUUGUUAAGAGACAAGCUUCAUCUACGAUGAAGGCUUUGGUUGACUUCUGGCAACUUGCAUUCUCGUAUCAAGUGAACCCUCUUGCUGCUGUUCAACCACUCCCGCCUGCAACACGUGGAAGCCGGUGAUGCACAAUUUGGUUCCUCGUAGUUGCUCAAAACCAGAGCUGUUACUUGUAGAUAAAAAUAAAAGAUUACUGAAGCUGUUGCCACUAUCACAUCUGAAGUUGGAGAGGAACAUGCAGAAAAAUAAUAAAGUUUGCUUCAAGGUUGCAUUCUUCGCCAAUGGAGUACUGUGUCAUACCUUAACUGUCUUAGCAAAGAGGAGUCUCAGAUUUCUCAACUUCAUGCAGUAGUAGUGUGUUGCCAUUCAUUUUAUUCCAAUCUUUUAAACUAUUGUCGAAAGAUUGUGUAUAAAGUGCCUUUGUGUCAAGGUUUGUUUUAACCCUUCCAUGUCAUUCAUAUAUAAAGUGUUGAGCUGUGAUGAAAUCUGUUUUGAUAAUGGACAGAGACUAUUGGAAGAACCAGGUCUCUUGACACAGUGUUGGUGACAUCAUAGUAAGGUACUGAUCAUACUGCUGAACGAACAGAAGAGAGGCAGCUAACACUGUUAUAUGCAAGUAGGACUGACUGCGUAGGAAGAAAAAGUUGGUACGAGAUCCGAUCUCGAAAUAGGAAUAUAAUCAACCAAGAGGAAACUGCACGAAAUUACAAUGAUAUAUGAAGGAAUUUAACCACCUAAGAAUUGGCUGAUGCACUUCAUUUAUUUUCUUGGUAUCCUACUGUUGCUUGAUGAAUAAAAUCAGCCUAAAGCAUGACGAUACCUCCCUCACAAAACAUCAAGGAUUGAGAUGAAAAUCAUGGCCGUUUGACCUCCCAAAUAUCCUAUUCCACCCCAAGGGCCCACUAGUCUUGUCGAUUUUCGGUCAAAAAUAUGCUCGGCCAUCAAGCCCACACCGAUUGUCUCGAAAAUGGCUUGUUUGCACCGUUUCGCUCGUUUGACCACCCAAAUAGCCUAUCCCAUACUAAGGGCCCACACUAGGUCGCUCCACAGCAUUCCGGGGCAGCUUGAUCGAUUUUUGGCAAAAAACACGCUCGUCUUUCGGACCCACCUCAAAAAAUCGUGGGUUAUAGCAUACAGAUUUGACCCAAAAAUGGCCCGUUCACGCCGUUUCGCCCGUUUAACCACUCAAAUAGCCUAUCCCGACCCAAGGGCCCACACUAGGAUGCUCCCCAGCCUACUUGGGGCUGGUCGGUCGAUUUUUGGCCAAAAACAUGCUCAACCCCCGAGUCCACCCCGAUAAUCGCGGGCUAUAGCACACUGAUUUGUCCCGAAAAUGGCCACUUUGCGCCGUUUCGCUCGUUUGAUCACCCAAAUGGCCUAUCCAGCCCCAAGGGCCCAUACUAGGCUGCUCCUCAGCCUGCUUGGGGCAGCCAGCCAAUUAUCGGCCAAAAACACGCCUUGUUUCCAGGCCCAUCCCGAAAAUCGUGGACUACAAUCCUAAUUUAAAAAACUCAGACUCCAAAGAAAUUUUCUUUAUUGGAAAUAUAAUGAUAUGUUUGUAUGACUACUACCGUUCAGAAACAGCAAAACUCCAAUAUUUCUUUUAUUCUUUUGAUAAUAAAGCAAUAAAAAUCCAGCCUUUAGCUCAACAAAAACAAAGAGUCCAACGCAGAAAUCGAGGGGGUAAAUUAGUCAAUAUACCUUCGAGAAUCUUCAGGAAAAACUGAACGGGAGGUAUCGUAUCCAAGGUGUAAAAGGAGUGAAUGAAGGAUUCGAAAGCUGAGCUGAAAACUGAAGAAUCGGAAAUUGGUUGUUGACGGCGGCGACGGCGGCGGAGGACGGCGAUGCUGAAAGGGAUUUGCUUCUGCAAUCCAUAAACGGUUAAUGAAUUUUCCGAUUGAAUCUCCGGCGACCGGCGAGAAGUAAAGAGAAAUUGAUUGAAUCUCCGGCGACCGACGAGAAGACGAGAAAUUGAAAAAGGAGAGGAAAUAGAGAGGAGGAGAAGAAGAAAAAGUAAUAAUAUAUUGGAACCAAAUGGAGAAUAAAUAAAAUAACAGAAAAAAUGUCAAUAACUCAACUGCCACAAUUAUUAUUAUUCUUUAUGAGUGGAGAGUAGAGGUACACCGAUGAAAGAUUGGAGGAAGAUGCUUAGAUAUAAUAUGAAGCAGUUACAUUUUAUUAAAAAUAUAACAGAAAGUUUAGGUUAAAACGUUAAUAGGAUGGGGGCUGAUAGUUAUAGCAUUUUAGGGGUAGUGUCUGUUUUUAGAAUUUUUAGGUGUUUUUUUAUGAUUUCAAACUAUUGUUUGUUGUUUUGUUACUACUUUUCGUUUCUUGUUUUUAUAUUAUAUUUUUUUC
Molecule: long non-coding RNA, 4257 nt
Filed under: Capsicum annuum
Lineage: Eukaryota; Viridiplantae; Streptophyta; Magnoliopsida; Solanales; Solanaceae
Description: long non-coding RNA (CANN_LNC007524)
Source: RNAcentral